RNAcentral lists this long non-coding RNA (3424 nucleotides) under Phaseolus vulgaris (common bean). Its description in RNAcentral is "long non-coding RNA (PVUL_LNC001945)". Lineage: Eukaryota; Viridiplantae; Streptophyta; Magnoliopsida; Fabales; Fabaceae. The record is from RNAcentral.
CUCAGCUUUUUCCUUCUACGCAUGACUGCAAGGGGCAGAGACCCCUCAUGGGGUCUUCUCUGGCCGCAAAUGGCCCUCGCAUUUUCCAUUGCUCUCCUUUCUUUCACUGUGGUUUCUGUCAAUGCUGAUGGUUACCCUUACUAUUCUCCUCCUCCUCCUUACGAGUACAAAUCACCACCUCCUCCACCUUAUGAGCACAAGUCUCCUCCUUAUGAGUACAAGUCUCCACCUCCCCCAUCUCCAUCUCCUCCUCCUCCUUACGUCUACAAGUCUCCACCUCCACCACCAUAUGAGCACAAGUCUCCUCCAUAUGUGUACAAAUCACCACCUCCUCCAUCUCCUUCACCACCACCUCCUUACGUCUACAAGUCUCCACCUCCUCCUCCUUAUGUCUACAAGUCUCCACCUCCUCCUCCUUACGUCUACAAGUCUCCACCACCACCUCCUUAUGUCUACAAAUCUCCCCCUCCACCACCAUAUGAGCACAAGGCUCCACCAUAUUAUUACAAGUCACCACCACCUCCUUCCCCAUCUCCUCCACCUCCUUAUUACUAUAAAUCUCCUCCACCACCCUCUCCCUCACCUCCUCCUCCCUACUACUACAAGUCUCCACCACCUCCUUCACCAUCUCCUCCUCCACCCUACUACUACAAGUCCCCACCACCUCCUUCACCAUCUCCUCCUCCACCCUACUACUACAAGUCCCCACCACCACCCUCCCCAACUCCCUACUACUACAAGUCCCCACCACCACCAUCUCCAACUCCCUACUACUACAAGUCUCCACCACCACCAUCUCCAACUCCUUACUAUCCAUCCCCCACUCCUUACUACUACAAGUCUCCACCACCACCAUCCCCAACUCCCUACUACUACAAGUCUCCUCCUCCUCCUUCACCUACUCCUUACUACUACACUUCUCCACCACCACCCAAAUAUCCACCUCCCUACUAUUAUAACUCCCCUCCUCCACCUGUUGUGUAUCCCCCACACCCCUACCACCCCCACCCCUUGAUUGUCAAGGUAGUGGGUAAAGUCUACAGCUACAAGUGCUAUGACUGGGAGUAUCCCGAGAAGUCUCACAACAAGAAACACCUCAAAGGUACACACCUUAUUUUUCUCAUUUACAAUGCCUUCCAAUUAAUGUUCUCUGUGUUACCAUCAAACUGUUACUUUCCUGCUUCUUUGAUGUUCAUUAGCAGCCGCUUUUUGGAGUUAGGAGACUCCUAUGUUUCCAUAAUGGAAAUGUCUUUGUUUUUAAAAUUCAGUCACUUUCACAACCACCUUUUCUUAUCUGUCUGUUUUUCUUAUAAUUAACCUUUUGAGGUUAAUUAACGUGUUAAUAAGGUUUGAGGGAAAAAAACUGAACAGAUUCAGAGCGUCUAGAGUAAUGCACAAGUGAACAUUUUAUAAUGUGGUUAAUAGGCAUUUUAUAAUUUUAAUGAUAUAUUUAUCUGCAUUGAUCUGUGCAAGUAUCUUUAUAUAAAUUAAACAAAGAUACUAAAUAAAUGUCUUAGAUUAUGUGUGAUUAUCUCCAAAAGGAGAUUCAUAAAAAGGAAAAGAAAAACAGAAAUAUAAUUUAGAAGAAUCGGCUAAUGCCUGUAAUACAUUAAGAAAUAAUCAACUAGACACUUUAUAUAUGAACCUUUAAAUGAUUCUUAAUAUAUAAUAUAAUAUGGUAUCUGACAAAACUUUCACUUUAAUGAUAACUUGGUGUGUGGUAUGAUCUAUGAAUUGGAAUUAAGCAUUUUGGGGUGAAUGCAGGUGCUACUGUUGAGGUUAAAUGCAAAGCAGGAAGAAACAUCAUUAAGGCUUAUGGUGAAACUAAGAGCAAUGGAAAAUACAGCAUCACAGUUAAGGACUUUAACUAUGUGAAAUAUGGAUCCGUAGUGUGCAAGGCCAAGCUUUAUGCCCCACCUAAGGACUCUCCAUUCAACAUACCUACAAAGUUGAACGAGGGAACAGAGUUGAAGGUCAAAUCCAAAGACAAAUAUGAAGUUGUGUUGAAGGCUAAGCCAUUUGCUUAUGCUUCAAAGAAGCAUUUCAAAGAAUGUGAAAAGCCUAAGCCUUCACCAACUCCAUACUAUUACAAGUCACCUCCUCCUCCAUCUCCAGUUUACAUAUACAAGUCACCACCUCCUCCAUCACCUACUUAUGUUUACAAGUCACCACCACCACCAGUGAAGUCACCUCCCUAUUACUAUCAAUCUCCACCUCCACCAUCACCAAAACCUCAGCCUCCUUAUUAUUAUCACUCUCCACCUCCUCCAACACCAGUUGUUAAGCCACCAUACUACUACCAAUCUCCACCUCCUCCAUCUCCAAAACCUAAGCCUCCAUACUACUACCAAUCUCCUCCUCCUCCAUCACCAAAACCUAAACCUCCUUACUACUACCAAUCUCCACCUCCUCCAUCACCAAAACCUCAGCCUCCAUACUACUAUCAAUCUCCACCUCCUCCAACACCAGUUGUGAAGCCACCAUACUACUACCAAUCUCCACCUCCUCCAUCACCAAAACCUCAGCCUCCUUACUAUUACCAAUCUCCACCUCCUCCAACACCAGUUGUUAAGCCACCAUACUACUAUAAAUCUCCACCUCCCCCAUCACCCUCUCCUCCACCACCAUACUACUACAAAUCUCCACCACCACCAUCCCCAUCACCGCCACCUCCAUACUACUAUAAAUCUCCACCUCCACCAUCACCGGUUGUUAAGCCACCAUACUACUAUAAAUCCCCACCUCCCCCAUCACCCUCUCCUCCCCCUCCAUACUACUAUAAAUCUCCACCUCCAUACUACUACCACUCUCCACCUCCACCAUCACCAGUUGUUAAGCCACCAUACUACUACAAAUCUCCACCUCCACCAUCACCCUCACCUCCCCCUCCAUACUACUAUAAAUCUCCACCCCCACCUUCACCAUCCCCUCCUCCUCCAUACUAUUAUAAAUCACCACCACCACCAUCCCCAUCACCGCCACCUCCAUACUAUUACAAAUCCCCUCCACCUCCAUCCCCAUCUCCACCGCCUCCUUAUUACUAUCACAGUCCUCCUCCACCAUCUCCCACUCCUCAUCCUCCCUACUACUACAAAUCCCCUCCACCACCAACGUCCUAUCCUCCACCUCCUUACCACUAUGUGAGCCCUCCACCACCUUCUCCAUCUCCACCUCCACCAUACUAUUACAAAUCACCACCUCCUCCCUCCCCAGCCCCCGCUCCAAAGUACAUUUACAAAUCACCUCCACCUCCAGCUUACAUCUAUUCUUCCCCACCUCCACCCAUCUACAAGUAAGCUCGGAUUGUGGAAGCACCAUUCACCACAAAUCAUGUAAGUUCAGGAUUCCAACAUUGAUCAUAAGUAAAAUUAGUUAAUUAUACGUGUAUGAAUUUUAGUAAUGGAAAUUCCCACUGAAUUAUUUU